CAAUUUGUAGAGAAAAAAAAAAUAAUAUCAGAUGUUCCCUAGAGUUCCCCUGAACACUUCAUUAGGGUUCCUCAUUUUGCACCUUACUGAAGUGUUUGGGGAACUCCUGAAAUCAUUUGAUCAUAGUAUGUGGUGACAUGGUGUAGAGCUGCAGAAGACUUAUGUAAUAAAAGUAUUAGGGUUUCCAUGUUAAUUAAGAGUUUGGUGCUUCUGGAUUGAGAGGACAUAUGCAAGGUGUAAAAACUAUGGCAAUUUUUCUUUUCUUUUUUUAGUAUUAUGUUUUUUUUUUUUUUUUGGCAAUCCGUGUAAGGAUUUUUAAUUAAAGAUGGGCUUGUAUGUGUAAAUAAUUGUAUGUUAAAUUAUAGGCUAUCGAAUUCGGUCGAGCCCGAUUAAAGUGAUCUAAUAAGGUUUCGGUUUUUGGGCUUUAAUGUAUCCAAUUAAAGUAUGGGUUUACAUAUGUAUAGAGACCGGGCCCAAGUCCUAAUUCUAUGAUGGGCCGAAUUAGGUCAAAGGGCAUCCUUAUAUAAAUAGGUUAUGGUCCCCAGAUCACACGCAACGAAUUAUUCAUUCUCUACUGCAUCCCAUCACAGAGAGGAAAAGGAGACUGCGUGUAGAUUUGAAAGAUCAUACCGCGAAAUCCAUAUUGCAUUAACCAUGUCAGAUUCAGGUAUGCUUUCGCUUUAAUUCUUAUAUUUAUCGAUGAUUUAAUAUGAAAGACCCAGUAAUUUAAAGUAUUAAAUUAUCCAACAAGUGGUAUCAGAGCCUCUUCAUGUUGAAUCAUUGAGAAUCAAAGGUUUUAGUUUGGUUCUUGCAAUAUAUUUUGAAAUUUUCAGAUUUAACAAUUUUUUGUUAUAUGUUUUGUUAAAUUUGAAAAUUUUUGCGGUAUAAUUUUGUUAUUUUUGUUCGAAUUGAUUCAGUUUAGAAAAUUCAGAUUUGGGUUCAGAUUUCUGGUACAGAUUUAAAAAAAAUGGAAUUGGAGCGGCUGCUGCGUUUUGCAGCAGCCGCUGCUGUAAAACG
RNAcentral lists this long non-coding RNA (1017 nucleotides) under Olea europaea subsp. europaea. The stretch from base 32 to 116 matches the Rfam family "mir-395 microRNA precursor family". Lineage: Eukaryota; Viridiplantae; Streptophyta; Magnoliopsida; Lamiales; Oleaceae. The record is from RNAcentral.